RNAcentral lists this ribosomal RNA (446 nucleotides) under uncultured bacterium. RNAcentral's name for it is "partial 16S ribosomal RNA". It matches the Rfam family "Bacterial small subunit ribosomal RNA", at positions 338 to 795 of the family's 1533-position model. The record is from RNAcentral.
CCUACGGGAGGCUGCAGUCGAGAAUCAUUCACAAUGGGGGAAACCCUGAUGGUGCGACGCCGCGUGGGGGAAUGAAGGUCUUCGGAUUGUAAACCCCUGUCAUGUGGGAGCAAAUUAAAAAGAUAGUACCACAAGAGGAAGAGACGGCUAACUCUGUGCCAGCAGCCGCGGUAAUACAGAGGUCUCAAGCGUUGUUCGGAAUCACUGGGCGUAAGGCGUGCGUAGGCUGUUUCGUAAGUCGUGUGUGAAAGGCGCGGGCUCAACCCGCGGACGGCACAUGAUACUGCGAGACUAGAGUAAUGGAGGGGGAACCGGAAUGCUCGGUGUAGCAGUGAAAUGCGUAGAUAUCGAGAGGAACACUCGUGGCGAAGGCGGGUUCCUGGACAUUAACUGACGCUGAGGCACGAAGGCCAGGGGAGCGAAAGGGAUUAGAUACCCCGGUAGUC